AUGAACGCUGGCGGCGUGCCUAAUACAUGCAAGUCGAGCGAACAGACGAGGAGCUUGCUCCUCUGACGUUAUCGGCGGACGGGUGAGUAACACGUGGAUAACCUACCUAUAAGACUGGGAUAACUUCGGGAAACCGGAGCUAAUACCGGAUAAUAUCUUGAACCGCAUGGUUCAAUAGUGAAAGACGGUUUUGCUGUCACUUAUAGAUGGAUCCGCGCCGCAUUAGCUAGUUGGUAAGGUAACGGCUUACCAAGGCGACGAUGCGUAGCCGACCUGAGAGGGUGAUCGGCCACACUGGAACUGAGACACGGUCCAGACUCCUACGGGAGGCAGCAGUAGGGAAUCUUCCGCAAUGGGCGAAAGCCUGACGGAGCAACGCCGCGUGAGUGAUGAAGGUCUUCGGAUCGUAAAACUCUGUUAUUAGGGAAGAACAAAUGUGUAAGUAACUAUGCACGUCUUGACGGUACCUAAUCAGAAAGCCACGGCUAACUACGUG
RNAcentral lists this ribosomal RNA (496 nucleotides) under uncultured bacterium. RNAcentral describes it as "partial 16S ribosomal RNA". It matches the Rfam family "Bacterial small subunit ribosomal RNA", at positions 29 to 507 of the family's 1533-position model. The record is from RNAcentral.